CAGCCUUGAGAAGCCUAGGAGGAAGGUCUAGCCAAGACUUUCUCCUGGAGAUAUAGUGAGUAUAUCUCCAGGCUCCUGAUGACAGGACCCCCACCAAUAGGCAACUGAAGUGAUAGCUGAAGAAGACAUUUGAGCCUCUGUCAAACUUAUCUCACUGGCCAGGGGGCCAAAGACCAGGGCCCAUCAACAUGACUCAAGUUUUUUGAUGUCUUUCCUACACUUUUCCAGUAAGCAUGUCUCUGUUCAGAUGCUUCUAGCAAUUUCCUGCCAAUGUAAACAGUGACCAACCCCAAUGCAAACAGUGACUGCCAUCAGCUAUUAGCUCUGACUCACUUGGUUCCUUUUCUUCCAACCAUCUGAAAUCUCCUGAUAAUAUUUCGUCAAUGGGGAAUCUCUCCCUAUUCUCCAACGUCAUACAGAUAAUCCCUUCCUUGAUUCCUUACCAUACAGGCAAAGAGAAAUGGGAUCCAAAGACAAAUGCCGUGGUCCCUUUCCCUGAAGGAGUUCAGGGAAAAUAAUCAUGAAUAAAUUUGAAGGACUUUAUACAUAACAGAUGUACCAUCAAAGUGCUUUGAAAGGAAAAAUUACUUUUAGAUUAAGGGAUUAUGGAAGAAUUCAUGGAGAAGGUGGCACCAGAAAAUACUGAAUGUUUUCAAAGAAUACAUAUUUGACUGUAUGAAGUCAAUUCAGAGGCUAUCACUCUUUCUUGUCCAUUCUAGUAAUGGUAUUUAUACCUCCUCUGGAUAAUAUCAGCAUUUGUAUGAGCAAAGGAUGAAAAAUAUUCUGAUAAUAAAUAAAAGAAAAUCUUGUUUUGGAAAAUGAACCAUCCUUACCUGGUUUUGGGGAAGUUUUCUUAAUUGUUUUCUUUGUUUUUGCUUCCUGCUUUCCAUUUAGAUGCUUCAUCUUCAUUAUAAAAUGUUCUGAUCCCCUUGGGGUUUAAAGCAUAAGUAAAUGGUUACUAUUAUCAUUUCCAUUGGUAUUAUCUUGGAAAGAAUCUUCGUGAGAGGAACAACUCAAAAGAAGCAUUUAAGCAUUGAAUAUAGCAUUAAAAGAUAGUUCAUUAUAUAUAUGUUUGCAGAAAUAUUUUAUUCCUAAUGGGAAAAGUUUCAUUGCAAUGACGGAUCAGAUUCUAAAAUAUAUGCUCUGACAAACGUUUAUUUUUCAUAUGUUUUUUUCAGAAUAUUUCUAUUCAUGUACCCAGUUUACUUUGGAUGAUGAACAACAAUGUAAGGAAAGAAAGUGGGUUACUGAGAAGACCAGAGGUUCCUCUCCCAUGCCAUAAAUAUUAAUCUGGGAUUAAUGCCCUCAAACUUUCUGACCUCCUACUCCUAAAAUCUCCUUUUCACAAAUUCUUGCAUUCUUUCCCUUUCUUGACUUUCCUACUGAAGGACAAACAGAUAGGGAAGAAAAUUAAGGGAGGGAAAAAUUUAGAUGACUUAGACAUUAAAAAAAUCCCUUCCUUAUUUUUGCAAUGAAAAGUACAGUGACUGUGGAGUCAAAGGAUCUCUGUUUUAUUCCUCACAUUUUUAUCUACAGGAUAUGAUGCCUUGGUUAAAUCACUAAAACUCUUUGUGUCUCAUAUAGGUUAUCCUCCUCUAUAAGUCAAAUGGGAGGAAAUAUGGGAUUAGAAGCAACAUUACCUUCACAUAGGGUAGGCUAUUUCUAUUAAAAAGUCUAGAAAUUGACCUUAAGACUUAAUUAGUCCAGGGGAUGAAGCCUCUAACCAUUGAUGUGGCUUCCCAAUCACCUAAGGCAUAAAAAAUCCCAAAGCAAUUCAAGCUUCUUGCACCUGAAAAACUUCCUACAAUUUCAUGGAGAAGGUGGCACCAACACACUCUUGUGACCAAGCAUAUCACCAUGACAAAUGUGGAAGUGAGGGAUUCUGCAUUUGUCAGAGACAGAGAGACAGAAAUGGAGAAAGAGACACAGAUAGAAUAGCCCUUUGAGAAUAGUGACAAAUUGUUCUCCAGAAUGUCCUGUUCACAAAUCCAACAACAGUUUAUUAAAGUAUCUAUUUUCUCUCA
Monodelphis domestica (gray short-tailed opossum) is the source of this 2024-nucleotide long non-coding RNA. RefSeq lists it as uncharacterized. The record is from RefSeq and is a predicted model, not a curated record. NCBI's taxonomy places the organism in Eukaryota, Metazoa, Chordata, Mammalia, Didelphimorphia, Didelphidae.